Molecule: ribosomal RNA, 380 nt
Filed under: uncultured bacterium
Lineage: Bacteria
Description: bacterial SSU rRNA
Rfam family: Bacterial small subunit ribosomal RNA
Source: RNAcentral
GACGAACGCUGGCGGCGUGCUUAACACAUGCAAGUCGAGCGGUAAGGCCCUUUCGGGGGUACACGAGCGGCGAACGGGUGAGUAACACGUGGGUGACCUGCCCUCAGCUCUGGGAUAAGCCUGGGAAGCCGGGUCUAAUACUGGAUAUGACUCCAUGACGCAUGUUGUGGGGUGGAAAGCCUUGUGCGGCUGAGGAUGGGCCCGCGGCCUAUCAGCUUGUUGGUGGGGUGAUGGCCUACCAAGGCGACGACGGGUAGCCGGCCUGAGAGGGCGACCGGCCACACUGGGACUGAGACACGGCCCAGACUCCUACGGGAGGCAGCAGUGGGGAAUCUUGCGCAAUGGGCGAAAGCCUGACGCAGCGACGCCGCGUGAGGGAU